RNAcentral lists this ribosomal RNA (530 nucleotides) under Engaeus strictifrons. RNAcentral describes it as "partial 16S ribosomal RNA". It matches the Rfam family "Bacterial large subunit ribosomal RNA", at positions 1851 to 2638 of the family's 2925-position model. Lineage: Eukaryota; Metazoa; Arthropoda; Malacostraca; Decapoda; Parastacidae. The record is from RNAcentral.
AGUCUAGCCUGCCCGUUGAAGAUUUGAAAGGCCGCGGUAUUUUGACCGUGCGAAGGUAGCAUAAUCAUUAGUCUUUUAAUUGAAGGCUUGUAUGAAGGGUUGGACGAGAAAUAAGCUGUCUUUAUUGAAAAAAUAGAAUUUAACUUUUAAGUGAGAGGGCUUAAAUGUUCUAAAGGGACGAUAAGACCCUAUAAAGUUUGACAUUUUAUUCAUUAAAAAAUAAAAUAAUUAAAUUAGUUUUUAUUAGUGGGGUAAUGUUUUGUUGGGGCGAUUAGAAUAUAAAAAAUUUAACUGUUUUAUAUUAAUACAAAGUUGUUUGAGUGUUUUGAUCCUUGGUAAAGGUAUUAGAGUAAAUUACUUUAGGGAUAACAGCGUAAUUUUUUUUGAGAGUUCUUAUCGACAAAAAAGUUUGCGACCUCGAUGUUGAAUUAAAGAAUUCUUUAUAGCGCAGAAGUUAUAAAAGAAGGUCUGUUCGACCUUUAAAUCUUUACAUGAUUUGAGUUCAGACCGGCGUGAGCCAGGUUGGUUUC